UUCCAAUCAAUUAUGAAAGCAAAUCAUCCUACCCAAAGGGGAGGAAAGUCUCUUUGAAAGCAUUUCUCCUAGCCUGCUCAGAGAAGAUGCUCAUUUUCAGAAUUUUUAAGAAACAGGAAAAAAUAUAGACAAGAUUAUACAGAGAGGGGAAGAAUGAGAAGAGAAGAGAAGGAUAAUAAGAAUUCUGAGGAACAUCAACAUUUAAAACGGAAAUGAAGAAAAGCCUGCGAAGAAGACUGCAAAGGUAGGCCAAGACCUAAAGGUGGUUCUGGAAUUAUUUGAUAUUGGGUGGCAGUGCUAUUAUUGUUCUUAUUUUACAGAUGAGGAAACUGGAGCAAGGAGAGGAUUUUGCUCCAAAGUCUAAUGGCUAACUGAGCUGAGGUUUGAAUCCAGGCAAUAGUCACCAGAGCUGCACUCACAAACUCAAAACUGUAGUGUGAGGAAGGUGGAUCACAUGCUUUGGAAGUAUUUCAGGCUGGGAAGUCUUCCAGUUUCUGGAAGAAAGAUAUGAUAAAGCCCAUAACAGAGGAUAUGGGAGCCAGCCAAGGAAGUGAACCCAUACACAUGUUCCCAGCUUCUACAGAGGGCCAAAUUCUGAUAGGAAAUUCUUUACGUGUGUGUGUGUGUGUGUGUGUGUGUGUGUGUGUAAUUUUAAGUUCUGGGAUACAUGUGCAGUAUGUGCAGUUUUGUUACAUAGGUAUACAUGUGCCAUGGUGGUUUGCUGCACCACUGAUAGGAAAUUAGGUAGCCACACACACAAGUAUAGACAUGGCUACUGAGUAAGACUUAUGAAAAUCUAGCUCUUAGCACAACUGUAAGCACAGAAUGAAUUUAGCAAACUUUUCCACAUCUCUGCAGACAAAGCCCUGGUUUUUAGUACAGACAUCCUGAAAGGUUACUUAUCCUGAUGUCAGGUGUAGCCUUGAGAAGUCCAGUGAUUCAAUGUUCAGGAAGAAAAUGUGUGAAAUGUAUCUCAACAAAUUGAGCCUGCUGUUUAGGAGGCUUUGCAUCCAUUUUUAAGGAAAAUUAUUCAUAACUACUCAAACCCAAGCAUGCAAGUCUGUAGCUAAAGAAUUCCAAGGGCAAAGGGUUUUCCAGGUGAAGCCAAAUGUAACCUUUAGAUAAUUGAGAGUAGCAAUAUCACAGAAAAAGAACUUCAAGCUUUGUUGCUAUUGUUUAGUGUCAGCAUGAGAGUUUUCAUCCUGAAUUGCUCUUAAAUCCUGAUUCAUUUGAAAAUUAAUCCAAAUGUCUUCCCACCAACUCUUCUCCCUUCUGGUAAAUUUUAUUAAGCAAUAAAUUCACAUCAAACAUUAUUUAUUGGGAAACAUCAGAUGAAACCAUUCAAAUUUUACUAUACAGUAGAUAUACCAAAGAAGUCAGCAUUCCCCCUUCAUAUUUUUUCAUGAGGAGGGCCACUGAGAUCUUUUCUCCUCAAGACAUGACUCCUCAGGAAGGGGUCUUGGCACCAAUAUGCAGGAGGAUGCUUGCAGAGCUGGGACUUUGGCAUUUUAAAAGCCACGUGGCUCUAGGCAUGCUCCAAGUGUUCCUAGCUCAAGUCUUAUAGUUAAGUCCAGAUUUCACAGCCGAAGGCACUGAGCUGCAAGCUUCCUCGCCAAAGGCCCAAAGCAGUAAGCAGAAGGUGCUUCCUGGCCCUGACUCAACUGGUGCAGAAGGACACCCUAUUGAUGGUGAUGCAGGAGCAGCUCUGAGCCUUCUCUGAGUGAUCCGGAAAGCAUUAUCCUACCCAAAGGGGAGGAAAGUCUCUUUGAAAGCAUUUCUGCUCAGAGAUGAAGACAAAAACCAUAAUGGGAAGGACCAAUAUCCCAAACAUCACUGACAUUACCUGGGUGUUCUGCUUGCAAAAACAUUUUGCUAAUAAAAAGAAAACGUGAUCCCAUCACUAACUGUCCCUAAAGCAAGUCAUCUGCCUUUUCAUGGUCUCAAGGGGCUCAUCUGUAAAAUGAAGAGUUGAACUAAAUGAUGGUUGAGGUUCCAUACUGUCUAGUAAUAAAAACUGUCAAAAGUGGUCACAUACUGUCAAUUUCAUAUGGCUUGAUGCACACACAUGCACACUCACUGUGUGUACACCCUCACAAACAUUUAUUCAUUCGAUAAGUAUUGCCUACUAUAAGCCAAGCAUUCUUCUAGGCACUGAAGAUAUAGCAGCAAACAAAGCAGAGCCCUGCUCACUUGGAGCUUACGUUCUAGGAUUGGUAAAAGCAAAAAUAUAGCAAAUUAACUAGUAUAUCCAAGGGGGUGGAAUGAGAAAGGGAGAGAGUAAGAGAGAGAGACACCAAGUGGGGAGAGUAGAAGGAGAUAGAAAGAUCACCAGGGCCUGGCAAAGCCUUGCUUUUCCUCUGAGUGAGAUGGGAAGGCAUUGGAGGGUUCUGAGCAACGUAAUAGGACACACAUGCUUACAAGAUGAUUCUCACUGCUCUGUGGCAGACAGACUUGUAGGGACAAGAGUAGAAACAGGGAGACCAGUCGGGAGACCGUUGCAAUCAUCCAGAUGAGGGAUGACGGUGGCUUGGACCUGGUGGCAACGGUGGAGCUGAAAGUCUUGGCUGUUCUGUAUUCUGAAGGCAAAGUCAAUAGGAUUUGCUACUGGACAGCAUGUGGAGUGUGAGUGAAAGAUGACGCCAAGAUUUUUCACUGGAAUAAGUGGAAUAAUGAAGUUCCCAUUUACUGAUCUGGUAAAGACUACGGAAGGAACAUAUUUAGAGCUGGGGGAAGAUAGGAAUCUGGAUGUUUAAGUAUGAAACGUUUGAACUGGC
Molecule: long non-coding RNA, 2774 nt
Filed under: Homo sapiens (human)
Lineage: Eukaryota; Metazoa; Chordata; Mammalia; Primates; Hominidae
Description: HSALNT0326077
Source: RNAcentral